This 71-nucleotide transfer RNA is filed under the name Marmota monax (woodchuck). RNAcentral's name for it is "tRNA.Ala". It matches the Rfam family "tRNA". Rfam says of the family: Transfer RNA (tRNA) molecules are approximately 80 nucleotides in length. Their secondary structure includes four short double-helical elements and three loops (D, anti-codon, and T loops). Lineage: Eukaryota; Metazoa; Chordata; Mammalia; Rodentia; Sciuridae. The record is from RNAcentral.
GGGGUUGUAGCUCAGUGGUAGAGUGCUUGCCUAGCAUGUGCGAGGCCCUGGGUUUGAUCCCCAGCACCACA